GAGCACGUAGGUGGGUUUGUAAGUCAGACGUGAAAGCCUUCUGUUCAACGGAAGAAUUGCAUCUGAAACUACAAACCUUGAGUGUAGGAGGGGAGAAUGGAACUUCUGGUGGAGCGGUGAAAUGCGUAGAUAUCAGAAGGAACGCCGGCGGCGAGAGCGAUUCUCUGGCCUAUUACUGACACUCAGUGUGCGAAAGCUAGGGGAGCAAACGGGAUUAGAUACCCCGGUAGUCCUAGCCGUAAACGAUGGGCACUAAGUAGAGGG
This 264-nucleotide ribosomal RNA is filed under the name uncultured Planctomycetota bacterium. Its description in RNAcentral is "uncultured planctomycete partial 16S ribosomal RNA". It matches the Rfam family "Bacterial small subunit ribosomal RNA", at positions 565 to 827 of the family's 1533-position model. Lineage: Bacteria; Pseudomonadati; Planctomycetota. The record is from RNAcentral.